AGCCUCCCAAAGCACUGGGAGUGUGAUGACUAGGUUUUCACGUGUGAGAUAUGCCUCACUCAAACCUCGUUACAACACUGGCACAUUGCCUGUCGGAUG
Pan troglodytes (chimpanzee) is the source of this 99-nucleotide small nucleolar RNA. It matches the Rfam family "Small nucleolar RNA U13". The record is from Rfam. Lineage: Eukaryota; Metazoa; Chordata; Mammalia; Primates; Hominidae.